RNAcentral lists this ribosomal RNA (253 nucleotides) under uncultured bacterium. RNAcentral's name for it is "partial 16S ribosomal RNA". It matches the Rfam family "Bacterial small subunit ribosomal RNA", at positions 524 to 776 of the family's 1533-position model. The record is from RNAcentral.
UACGAGGGGGGCAAGCGUUGUUCGGAAUUAUUGGGCGUAAAGGGCGCGUAGGCGGCGCCACAAGUCACUUGUGAAAACUCUGGGCUCAACUCAGAGCCUGCAAGCGAAUCUGUGGUGCUGGAGUAUGGGAGAGGUGCGUGGAAUUCCCGGUGUAGCGGUGAAAUGCGUAGAUAUCGGGAGGAACCCCUGUGGCGAACGCGGCGCACUGGACCAUAACUGUCGCUGAGGCGCGAAAGCUAGGGGAGCAAACAGC